Long non-coding RNA from Gossypium raimondii (Peruvian cotton), 1629 nucleotides. RefSeq lists it as uncharacterized. The record is from RefSeq and is a predicted model, not a curated record. NCBI's taxonomy places the organism in Eukaryota, Viridiplantae, Streptophyta, Magnoliopsida, Malvales, Malvaceae. The transcript has 2 exons.
UUUUCAUGACCAAAUUCUGCAGAACAAAUGCCAGCUAAGGAUUAUUCCAAUUGUCUUCAGGGUUGAGCUAUUUUUCCUCUCCCAUGGUUUUAGUUAUAGAAAUAAAAAUUGUCGGCAUCAGAAUUCUGGUAUAUCUAAUCUGGUCAUAUAUGCACAUUAACAACAUCAUUUUCUUUAUCUGAGUUGCUUAAUUAGUCAUUAGUGUUUUACAUAUCAAAAUUGAAAAAGCAGCCUUACUAAAUGUGGAUGUGUAGAAUUGGUGCAUCGUGAUGAUAAUCAUUGGACCAAUCUUGUUGUUUGUACGAAAUCGGUCCAUGGUAUUUUUGAGGUUGUGACCAAUGGUAUCUAUAUAUAAUCAUAUGAUUAUAGGAAUCCAGUUAUUUUUCUACUUCUAUUGCUUCCUUCAUGUUUUUUCCCUUUUUGGUUGAAAUUUAUCUCUAACUUAUUUACAGUUGAGAUUUUCAUGUUUUGGUUUUGCUAAUGUUAGCGGAAUUCGGUUUAAAUAUUGGUUAGCCAAGCUUGGGCUAUUGAGUAAGCCGAAUUUAAAUACCUUAAUGUCCGACUUAGAGUGGCUUGUAAGUUUACAUUAAGGGUUUUUAUUUUUUUGAACUAAUAUUGAAAAUACCAAUUGAAAUCCGAACUUAAGACAAAUAAUUUUUUAGGUUUAGUCAAGGUUGUUUGAAUCGGACCAGGAUCUUGGUUCGGAGAAGGGCAUUGAAUCGAUUGACCCAGGAACCAGUAUGGAUGAUUGUAUUGGGCGAAAAACUGGUUGAACCUGACCGUUGAAUCAGAUUUUUUUUUAUGAACUUUUUAAUGAUUUAUUUAAUUGUAUCGGUUGAACCAAUGAAUCGGUGGCCUGAUCAGUUUUACUAUUGGUCCGGUUUCGAAAACCUUGGAUUUUUGAGAAUCAUGUUCACCUUUUGCUAGGUAAAGAAGUCCAAGUUGAUUUUUAUCUUGAAUCAAGUUAUGUUUUGAAAGUAAAUUUGAUCAAGUUGGAAUUGAGUUUUGAGGUGUAAACACUAAUGGGAAUGUGAAUUUGUUACUAUUACAGAUGAGGAUGCCCAAUGUUUGGCCCUUUCUUAAACUUGGAAUCAAAAAGCAUAGACAACGGAUAUGUGUUUGGCCACCAUUUGUGCACAAAAUAUGGAGUUCAUUGUUGCUAUAUAGUGGGAAUUGAUGGGCUCGAAUCCUCCUAGGAGACUUUGAUUUCCUUAGCUCACCAAGAAACACCCCUGCCAUUGCCCAUGUCCUUCCUUCCUUUUGAGGAUUGCAGUACCUCGUCGCAUCGAGAUUCCAAAGGAAAAGCCUUAUGUUUUGUUUAAACGACAAGAACAAAUUACAAGGUGUUAUUCAACUUGCAAUUUAACGUGUGCCAACAUAAGCAUCAACACUCAAGUCAUAUGUAUAUACAGCCAGGAAAUCGACAUCUUUUGGAAGGGUCCUAAUCCAAGCAUUAUAAUUGAACAUAGCCUUGGAAUACUGUCUAAAAAAAUUGUUGUCUAAUAAUCAAUUGUGCAUCCCUUCAUUUGAAUAUUGUUUGGAACCCUAAAAAAACAUAAAUGUGUUUUUUCCUUAGUUGGCAUGUAUUAUGCAAUAAGAAAAAUAAAGAGUACAAUUAAUAUGUUUAAA